This 448-nucleotide ribosomal RNA is filed under the name uncultured bacterium. RNAcentral describes it as "partial 16S ribosomal RNA". It matches the Rfam family "Bacterial small subunit ribosomal RNA", at positions 43 to 523 of the family's 1533-position model. The record is from RNAcentral.
CAGGCCUAACACAUGCAAGUCGAGCGGCAGCGGGACCUUCGGGUUGCCGGCGAGCGGCGGACGGGUGAGUAAUGCCUAGGAAUGUAUCCUGAGGUGGGGGACAACCCUGGGAAACUGGGGCUAAUACCGCAUGGGAGCUGAGGCUCAAAGCCGUAAGGCGCCUUGGGAGCAGCCUGCGUCCGAUUAGGUAGUUGGUGGGGUAAAGGCCUACCAAGCCUGCGAUCGGUAGCUGGUCUGAGAGGACGAUCAGCCACACUGGGACUGAGACACGGCCCAGACUCCUACGGGAGGCAGCAGUGGGGAAUAUUGGACAAUGGGCGCAAGCCUGAUCCAGCAAUGCCGCGUGGGUGAAGAAGGUCUUCGGAUUGUAAAGCCCUUUCGGCGGGGACGAUGAUGACGGUACCCGCAGAAGAAGCCCCGGCUAACUUCGUGCCAGCCGCCGCAGUAA